RNAcentral lists this ribosomal RNA (253 nucleotides) under uncultured bacterium. RNAcentral's name for it is "partial 16S ribosomal RNA". It matches the Rfam family "Bacterial small subunit ribosomal RNA", at positions 524 to 776 of the family's 1533-position model. The record is from RNAcentral.
UACAGAGGGUGCAAGCGUUGUUCGGAAUUAUUGGGCGUAAAGCGCGUGUAGGCGGCUUGGCAAGUCAGAUGUGAAAGCCCUCGGCUUAACUGAGGAAGUGCACCCGAAACUGAGUAGCUAGAGUACGAAAGAGGGUCGCGGAAUUCCCGGUGUAGAGGUGAAAUUCGUAGAUAUCGGGAGGAACACCGGUGGCGAAGGCGGCGACCUGGGUCGAGACUGACGCUGAGGCGCGAAAGCGUGGGGAGCAAACAGG